CCUACGGGUGACAGCAGUAGGGAAUAUUGCUCAAUGGGGGAAACCCUGAAGCAGCAACGCCGCGUGGAGGAUGAAGGUCUUCGGAUUGUAAACUCCUUUUGUUAGAGAAGAUAAUUACGGUAUCUAACGAAUAAUCACCGGCCAACUCCGUUCCAGCAGCCGCGGUCAUACGGAGGGUGCAAGCGUUACUCGGAAUCACUGGGCGUAAAGGGGGCGUAGGCGGGAUAGCAAGUCAGAUGUGAAAUCCUAUGGCUUAACCAUAGAAUUGCAUUUGAAACUGUUAGUCUAGAGUAUGGGAGAGGUAGGUGGAAUUCUUGGUGUAGGGGUAAAAUGCGUAGAGAUCAAGAGGAAUACUCAUUGCGAAGGCGGCCUGCUAGAACGAAACUGACGCUGAUGCGCGAAAGCGUGGGGAGCAAACAGGAUUAGAUACCCCAGUAGUC
RNAcentral lists this ribosomal RNA (440 nucleotides) under uncultured bacterium. RNAcentral describes it as "partial 16S ribosomal RNA". It matches the Rfam family "Bacterial small subunit ribosomal RNA", at positions 338 to 795 of the family's 1533-position model. The record is from RNAcentral.